AGUGAACGCUGGCGGUAGGCCUAACACAUGCAAGUCGAACGGCAGCACAGUAGGAGCUUGCUCUUACGGGUGGCGAGUGGCGGACGGGUGAGGAAUACAUCGGAAUCUACUUUUUCGUGGGGGAUAACGCAGGGAAACUUACGCUAAUACCGCAUACGACCUACGGGUGAAAGCAGGGGAUCUUCGGACCUUGCGCGAUUGAAUGAGCCGAUGUCGGAUUAGCUAGUUGGCGGGGUAAAGGCCCACCAAGGCGACGAUCCGUAGCUGGUCUGAGAGGAUGAUCAGCCACACUGGAACUGAGACACGGUCCAGACUCCUACGGGAGGCAGCAGUGGGGAAUAUUGGACAAUGGGCGCAAGCCUGAUCCAGCCAUACCGCGUGGGUGAAGAAGGCCUUCGGGUUGUAAAGCCCUUUUGUUGGGAAAGAAAAGCAGCAGGUUAAUACCCCGCUGUUCUGACGGUACCCAAAGAAUAAGCACCGGCUAACUUCGUG
This 492-nucleotide ribosomal RNA is filed under the name uncultured bacterium. RNAcentral's name for it is "partial 16S ribosomal RNA". It matches the Rfam family "Bacterial small subunit ribosomal RNA", at positions 29 to 507 of the family's 1533-position model. The record is from RNAcentral.